RNAcentral lists this long non-coding RNA (564 nucleotides) under Helianthus annuus (common sunflower). RNAcentral's name for it is "hypothetical non coding rna". Lineage: Eukaryota; Viridiplantae; Streptophyta; Magnoliopsida; Asterales; Asteraceae. The record is from RNAcentral.
ACCCCUGUCCGUCUUUCUCUCUAGAUCUGUCCACCACCGAUGACAGCCACCAACAACCACAACUUUCAACAUCACCCACACCAUCACUGAGAGAGAGAAGAGAGAGGGAGACACUUUCCCCACCACCACCGCCACAGCUCCGCCACAACUCCGCCACGAGCCACCGUUCAAUCUCCGAUACCGACUCUCAACUCGACGAGUUCCACUCUCCUCUCCCGCGCCGACUCGCCUCUCCGCUCCGACGACAUCAUCUCCUCCACCUCCACUUCCACUUCCACCACCAUCGUCACCGUCGACAAGUUCCGAUCCCCGAUCAGAUCUCCUCUUUCCGGUAUUGUCAAUGUCACGCCGUUGGCCAAAUCUCCAUCCCCUGCCGUAACUUACAACCGGUACUGUUAAUUGCGUUUUCUGUUAUGGUUUCUGAUAAAACUCAAGGAUGGAGUGGUGAUGCGUUUUCUGUUAUGGAGUAUAAUUCAGUUUUGAUAAGUUUUUGUGAAUUGUUGACUGAUUUUGACUUUUGAGAUGUUUGAUUAUGAUCUAAUUUCAUUAUUAAUUGUCUGAUUC